Molecule: long non-coding RNA, 4016 nt
Organism: Herpailurus yagouaroundi (jaguarundi)
Lineage: Eukaryota; Metazoa; Chordata; Mammalia; Carnivora; Felidae
Exons: 2
Source: RefSeq, a predicted model, not a curated record
AGUGACGGACGGGGUCAUCAGCCAACCGCAGCCCGGGCACGACGCAUGCGUCCACAGAAGCUUUAGCCCUAGAUGGGGAAAAAAAGCCGCGGGCGCACCGCUGUGGCUGCGUCUGGCCAGGGCCUGGGGAAGCGGGUGCGCAUGCGUGAGCCCGACACCACCCUCUCCCUGCGAGACGCGAGCGUACGCAACGUGGCCGGCAGGGGUCUCCGGGGGCGCGCCCCGCAGGGAGGGACCUCGGCCCCACGCGUGCGCGCGGGCCGCGAUCUCGCGCGAGGCCGCCGGUAGACGACGCCCCGCUGGCCCCGCGCGCCCGGCCGCCGGCGGGGGCCCCCUCCUGGCAGCCGAGGGCCCCCGAUCUCUGGGGACCACAACCCCUGACCGCGCACACCCGGGAGGCCGCGACCCCCACCCGCGCAGGCCAAGACCCUCAAUCCUGGAGGCCGAGACCCCGGCCCUUGAGAGGACUGCCCGCCCCGUGGGGCGUUGCUGCACUGGACAGACCAACAGAGAAGCCCCGGAGCACGACAGACAUUCGGAACCGUGUUCAUAUACUGCAAAAUACGCACAGUGAAGCAGUAUAGUGUCUAGGUGUGUGUGGUAAAACUUUAAAAAGGCAGAGGAAUGAUAAACACAAAGUUCAUCAGUUAUGUUGGAGAGGGGUUGGGGGUGGGAUGCGGAAAACCAGGCGGGUGCUAGUGGUAACGUUCUAGUUAUCGGGUUAAAUGGUACAUGGAAGGAUAUUUCCUUAUGGUUUAUACAUAACGCAUAGGACGGUUACUCAUUUGUAUAGAAUAUGCUUUAGAAAUAAGUGGAAUCACCUCGCCUCCCAAAACAAAACAAAAGAGGCGGUUGGAGAAGGAGAAGGUCUUACCUGUAUUGCACUCGAUUUCCAGAGCAUUUCUGCACAUGUUCUGUCAUGUGCAGCCCUUCAAGGUAUUGUCUCCAUGUGCAAGAUGAAGAAAGGAGACCAAAAAUUCAUGAGGCCGGUGGCACAAAGACAGGAAAGGUGAGCGUGCAGAAGGUCAGCGGGGAGCCCUGGGCAGUUAAAUCUCCAGGGUGCCGAGCACUGUGCCUGGAACAGAGAACGUGGUCGGCAAGCACUCGUUCAGCGGGUGAGUGAACUUUCUGAUUAUGUGGGUGUCCAGGAGUGACAGGAGCUGCCCCGAAGGCAGGUGCCCUGCUCAGCGGCUGGCUGACCACCGUGGGGACCAGGAGGACGAGAGAGGCCACUUUGGGCAAACUUCGGAGAGAAGCCCCUCUGUGACUGUUUAUGUGAGUCUGUAUAUCAGAGGCUGAAGAUAAGACCAUGUUACGAUAAUAAGGUUCUCGCCUGCAGUGGGGCAGCAGUCCCCAGAGAAGGGCCAGGACAAAAGAGACAUUUUGAAGGGAAAGUUCAUAGGACUCGUUGCCGGAAUGGGUAUGAGGUGUGUUGUUGUUGUGUGUGUGGUUGUGUGUUGUCUGUGGCUCCCGGAUGCCGUGCCGCUGACUUCACAAGGGCGUAGAGGAACGUGGAUUCGUGCCUAGCAGGUGGUUUGCGAUGGAGGAUAGCGGUCAGGACGGGUGAGGGCUGACGACACACUGACACGCCAGGGAAACAGCACCUCAGUUUGAAUUAGGAGACCCGAUUCCUAGGCCUGUCACCCGGGACACGUCGCUUCAUCUGAGUGUUUGGUACAGAACGUAUACGCGCGACAAGAACUGAAAAGAAGAAUGUGCCCGAGCCCCUUGUCCAGAUCUAGUUAAAUCGACUCCUGUAGUUAAAUAUGCAGAUACCCGCCCCUGGAACUGUGCUUGCCUCCAUCGUCCCAUGAUGUUACGUCCUUCAUUCUGGGACUGCCACAUUUGUGCUGGAAGUGCUGUCUUACCCGAGUUUCUGUCCCCCCCGCCGUGCCUGGCACAGAGCCGGAGCUCGGUAGAUGUGUGUUGCCCCGCACAGAAUUGUGUGAACUAGAAAGAACACUCAUUUUCCCAAGCCCUAGGUUUCCUUAUUUGUAAAUGAGACUAGUGGACCUUUAAAAUUCUUUUGAGUUCUAGACUUCUGUUAUGCAACGAUGUUCUAUUGAUUGAGAAGACUGAACUAGCUGAUUGCUGAAUUGCUUUGCAGCUCCAGUGUUCCGUUGUGAUACUGAGUGGCAGGUAAUCUCACAGAAGCCGCGGUUGGGCGGGUUCUCAAAGGGAAAGCGUGGAGAAGGUUGAGGACAGAGACAGCACCCAGUUGUCCCAAACCAGAGUGGCACAGAAUGACCAGGCUGGGAAGCAGGAGGAAUACGAAUGGCAGAGUGUCAAACUGAGACGCCCAGAGGAGCCAGGCGGAGGAUGUGAAUGUGGGACGUGGCCCCGCCGUGUGAGGGAGGCCAUGCCCACCCGAGGAAGUCCGCGGUCUCUUCCAGUUUUUGAGAUGAAGCUGGACUCCCAGCGUUUUAUUUGAAAUCCCGUGGUUUUUACUGACAACCAAUUCAGAUUAUUUUAAAACUCUGCGCAGGUUAAAAAACAACAACAAACGAACAAAAAAGCCCUCCACGCCUCUUGGCCUGCUGGUCUCUACCCUCGCUGGCAUGGUGCCCUCAAUCCGCGCGUGCCCCAGGACGAUGUUGCUGGAAGUUUCCCGUUUCUGUUCACGCCAGUUCUCCGAUAGGCCAACCCUUCCCGAUACUCCCAGGACUUUGAUCAUUUAUCCCCUCCCUGCCUUCUGUUUUCAGCGUCUCCCUUUAUGCUUGUGUCUCCUUCAGUCUCGAAACAUGCCAGCGUCUUUCCACAUCCUGAAGACGCUGCUUCGUUCUCCUACGGUCCCUGCCAGGGCCUUUCUAGAAAGUUCUUUCUUUUUCCCUUCCACAGAUUUCCUAGCAGAAUCCACUGCAUUCUCCCUGUCUUCCUAUUGUAAGCCGGCUUUGCUGCUCAGCUCGCUGUAGUUUAAGGUCUGCCUCCGCGAUUCCACUGAAGGUGUUCUGACCAGGGCAGAGGUCUCUGCUGCUGAAUUCGUGAGACUGCUCCAACUAGGCUAAACUCACACUCAGAGACCCAAGUGGUGUCCUUUGCUUUAAUCUAUGACCUGAGAAAUGUCGCAUCGGUGUUUAUGGAACCAAACGGGAAAGUGUCCUCGAGAAAGAAGGACAGUCGGCACCAUGGGACUUGCAGACAGAUCAAAGUCUGUGUCGGCCACGCGAAGCCCACUGGGUUGUAAGAAAAGGAGAUUGCCACUAGCUUUUGAGAGGACAGUUCCGGCAGAGGCAACUGGAAGGUACGCUGCUGUAGUCUGUGAAGAAAAGGGUGGUGAUGUGAUGACAGACGGUGCCCAGAGGUGGCGCCUUGGACGAGUUUGGCACCGCGGGAAGCGACAUCAAGCAGGAGGUAUUGGAGACACGCGUGCCCGUCAGAGUCCCUGACGUUAAGGAAAUCCUGGCACGUCUGCAGGUAAAGCGGGCAAGCCAGUGGCACGGGAGAUACUGGAAAUGCUGGGGAAGGACUACCUGAGAGCCGGCCGCCAGGGGCGUCGGGAAGAACCGAGAAGUCAGCCAGUUGAAAGGACUGGUCCGCCUUGACGAGGAAGCGAGGAGUCUCUGAAGUAGGCAGAACGGUUAAAGGCAUGAGUCGUCAUUCUAUCCGGACUCUCGUGGGGGCAGCGGUGAUGCAGGAGAGCCCCGGUGUGCGUUUCAUCUGUGACACGGAAGCGACGUCCCGUCUCCAGUCACAGGCAUAGCAGAUCCAGGAUUGUUGGCCGCCUUAGCGACAUCACUCUGCACUGGCUGUGUCCCUUCCGCUCCCUCUGCACUGAUUCCGGGGGGCUCUGGCCUUGGCUGCCCCCCUCUCCUCGUCAGGGAAGUGUCGUCCCCACACCUGAGGUUUAGGCAGCCACCUCAAUGCUAGUGACUCCCAAUCUGUGUCUGUGACAUAGAUUUCUCUCCUGUGACCUAGAUCUCUCUCCUGAGCCUCCCAUCUAUGUGCCCAGUAUCUUUAUGACUAGAACUGGUCAUUUCUCCUUAAUUCUUUAUUCUAAUUUUUUAUUUUAUUAAAAA